GACGAACGCUGGCGGCGUGCUUAACACAUGCAAGUCGAACGGAAAGGCCCUGCUUUUGUGGGGUGCUCGAGUGGCGAACGGGUGAGUAACACGUGAGUAACCUGCCCUUGACUUUGGGAUAACUUCAGGAAACUGGGGCUAAUACCGGAUAGGAGCUCCUGCUGCAUGGUGGGGGUUGGAAAGUUUCGGCGGUUGGGGAUGGACUCGCGGCUUAUCAGCUUGUUGGUGGGGUAGUGGCUUACCAAGGCUUUGACGGGUAGCCGGCCUGAGAGGGUGACCGGCCACAUUGGGACUGAGAUACGGCCCAGACUCCUACGGGAGGCAGCAGUGGGGAAUAUUGCACAAUGGGCGGAAGCCUGAUGCAGCAACGCCGCGUGCGGGAUGACGGCCUUCGGGUUGUAAACCGCUUUCGCCUGUGACGAAGCGUGAGUGACGGUAAUGGGUAAAGAAGCACCGGCUAACUACGUGCCAGCAGCCGCGGUGAUACGUAGGGUGCGAGCGUUGUCCGGAUUUAUUGGGCGUAAAGGGCUCGUAGGUGGUUGAUCGCGUCGGAAGUGUAAUCUUGGGGCUUAACCCUGAGCGUGCUUUCGAUACGGGUUGACUUGAGGAAGGUAGGGGAGAAUGGAAUUCCUGGUGGAGCGGUGGAAUGCGCAGAUAUCAGGAGGAGCACCAGUGGCGAAGGCGGUUCUCUGGGCCUUUCCUGACGCUGAGGAGCGAAAGCGUGGGGAGCGAACAGGCUUAGAUAUCCUGGUAGUCCACGCUGUAAACGGUGGGUACUAGGUGUGGGGUCCAUUCCACGGGUUCCGUGCCGUAGCUAACGCUUUAAGUACCCCGCCUGGGGAGUACGGCCGCAAGGCUAAAACUCAAAGGAAUUGACGGGGCCCCGCACAAGCGGCGGAGCAUGCGGAUUAAUUCGAUGCAACGCGUAGAACCUUACCUGGGUUUGACAUGGAUCGGGAGUGCUCAGAGAUGGGUGUGCCUCUUUUGGGGUCGGUUCACAGGUGGUGCAUGGCUGUCGUCAGCUCGUGUCGUGAGAUGUUGGGUUAAGUCCCGCAACGAGCGCAACCCUUGUUCACUGUUGCCAGCACGUUAUGGUGGGGACUCAGUGGAGACCGCCGGGGUCAACUCGGAGGAAGGUGGGGAUGACGUCGAGUCAUCAUGCCCCUUAUGUCCAGGGCUUCACGCAUGCUACAAUGGCUGGUACAGAGAGUGGCGAGCCUGUGAGGGUGAGCGAAUCUCGGAAAGCCGGUCUCAGUUCGGAUUGGGGUCUGCAACUCGACCUCAUGAAGUCGGAGUCGCUAGUAAUCGCAGAUCAGCAACGCUGCGGUGAAUACGUUCCCGGGGCU
RNAcentral lists this ribosomal RNA (1346 nucleotides) under uncultured bacterium. RNAcentral describes it as "partial 16S ribosomal RNA". It matches the Rfam family "Bacterial small subunit ribosomal RNA", at positions 28 to 1381 of the family's 1533-position model. The record is from RNAcentral.